Molecule: long non-coding RNA, 238 nt
Filed under: Sorghum bicolor (sorghum)
Lineage: Eukaryota; Viridiplantae; Streptophyta; Magnoliopsida; Poales; Poaceae
Description: long non-coding RNA (SBIC_LNC012023)
Source: RNAcentral
CCUGACGACAAGAGUCUGUUCAAAGAGCAGUGAAUGAGAUAGCAAACUCUGUUUGUUGAGUGCUUUCACUUGAAUACCAUUCAAAGGAAAGUUCAUUUAGUUCAGAAAAAAUAAGAAUCUAUAAUCAGAAUAAAAGAAGAAAUAUCUUUGUUAACAAUGUCCUCUUUUAUUAUAAUCCAAUUUGAUCAGCCCACACAACAUGAUUAGAACAGUAGCCAUCAACAGCUAAAGUUGUCUA